GUUCCUAACUGACAGCUGCUACAAGGGAAAGGGAAACAAAAAAACUAAACCAAACAAACCUCCCUUUUAUUCGGUCGUCGUCGUUCUUCUUCACAAUUUGGUCUGAAACGACACAGUAUCAGUUCGUUGCAUUAGUUGCUAAAUGGCUGAUUCAGAGAAAUUGACGGUUUGAAAAAGGCUUAUGCCGAAAUAAUUUUGAACACGGCUAAAGAGGCGUCGGCGAGGAUAAUGGUGUCGGAAAGGAAGGCUCGCCGGUACCAGCAGGAGCUGUUCGCGGCCAAAGACGAGGCAUUGCAUGUGUUGGUUAGGUUGAAACAGAUGUUGGAUCUAACGUUAAUGAAGCGGAGAUGAUGUCCUUGAAUCAACAGAAAAGAAUUAAAGAGCUUGAAGCACAACUAGGUGAAGCUGAGGAUAUAGUUAGAGAUCUUAGAGCAGAGUUGAGAGAAGCACAAGAUGAGUUGGAGAGGCUGACCAAAAAUCCGAUGCGGUGUUUGGGUGAACAAAAACAGAACAUGAUGUUG
Molecule: long non-coding RNA, 521 nt
Organism: Hibiscus syriacus
Lineage: Eukaryota; Viridiplantae; Streptophyta; Magnoliopsida; Malvales; Malvaceae
Exons: 3
Source: RefSeq, a predicted model, not a curated record